Lycium barbarum (goji berry) is the source of this 527-nucleotide long non-coding RNA. RefSeq lists it as uncharacterized. The record is from RefSeq and is a predicted model, not a curated record. The transcript is spliced from 2 exons. Lineage: Eukaryota; Viridiplantae; Streptophyta; Magnoliopsida; Solanales; Solanaceae.
GACUAGUUGUGUUAUAUUGUGUUUUGUAGUCAUGGUUGUUGUCAUUGUGUUGAUAGUUUGGCCGGGUUGAAUUCCCGGAUUGUUGUUGAUAAAAAAUUGGCUAAGUUGAAUUUUGGGGAUGGUGUAUUUAUAGGGGAGAUGCUGCCCAAAUUUUUGUAGACAAGUAUUGGUUAAGAUUGAAAUCUUAAAGCCUUACAAUUAACAUUUGGUAAUUGUGACCAAAUUGUAGAUUUUGGCGAACUUGAAACUUGAUUUUGGAGACGUGUAUGAAGCGGAAAAGGUCAGCAGACAGGUGGACGUGAUCCUUAGAAGCUCUACCAGCCGCACUUGACAGCGCUCCAGUUGUUCCGGAGCCUCACUCCAGCGGUACUAUUUUAUGCAUAUACAUUCGGGCUUGGUAGCACCCCGGCCCUUUCUAUGUAUAAGUGUACUAUGUCUAGAGGCUCGUAGACAGAUACGUACAGUCAGUCAGGUACAGAUAUAUGUAUAGUGUUUUGGCAUGUUAAUAUUGUUGUACAAGGUAAUAA